Long non-coding RNA from Dermacentor silvarum, 2871 nucleotides. RefSeq lists it as uncharacterized. The transcript is spliced from 4 exons. The record is from RefSeq and is a predicted model, not a curated record. NCBI's taxonomy places the organism in Eukaryota, Metazoa, Arthropoda, Arachnida, Ixodida, Ixodidae.
AGCCUCUGAAUCCUGUCCUUAUAAGUCAGUUCAUUAAUUUGUGCAAGGAUAGGCCAGAUGCCGAACUUGCUGCUCUCAAAAAGUGGCACACCAUCGGUGUUGAAGGUAAGAGACACAUCAUCAGGGCCCAUGGGAAUAUUUCUGUAUGCAACACCUGUUACGAUGUCAGUGACAUCGAAAGAAGAUGGCUGAGCUGGCAUAACCUUGGUUGUUUUCAAAAUAUCACAAAUCUGAGAUUCUAUGCUAAGUGAAAAAAAAUAUGAUGAACUCUUUACCAGUGCACUAAUGUCAUGGUUCACACUGCAGUGUUCACACAAAAUGGUAGUACACUCAGUAGCUCCCAUGUAGCUGUAACAAUUGCUACAAUAAAAAUGCCUUAUCUUCUCACUCUCAGGUGAGCUAAAAUGUUUAAAAAAACUGUGCUUCGAACAUGGCAGCACCGUUUCUUCCGGUAGAUGAGCAUGCAGUAAAUGCAGCAAGCUCUCUGUCGCUUCCUUCGACACAUCAUGCCGCAGGCUGUGGCCCAUAAUGAGCAAAAUGCUCUCAGCCUUUGUUAUCUUCGAACCUGGAUACAGCUCCUGGUUCUGUUUAAAGAGAAGAAACAAACAAGUUUAUACCACAUGCAUGCACACACGAAAUACACGUAAAUUCAGUAGUCCAUAAGAAACAAGCAUCUCCCAUCAGCUUUAUUGUAGACUAUUGCAAUACACCACCAUUUUCGUUACCAUUAAAGAAAUGUGUGCCUCGGUGUCAAGACACAUUAAUGCGUUAGAGCUUUGGCGAAUUAAAGACUACCUUUGUGAACACACCGAGAGAGUAAACUAUACCACAUGAAAGAGCAUAUUUUCACUAGGUGGCACUGUGAAUUUAAGGUGUUAACAGAAGUGUUCUUUGGACAGCUAUAUUGGUUGCAAUUUGCUUAAGCUUCCGCGUAGCUGAUUAUGCAUGCCUACAACAGUAGGCACGCACAGGGGCUUAUUUGGAAAAACUGAUUUUACAUUGUAGAGAAAUAAAAUUUUAAAAUUCUGCCAGAAUUAUUGCAAGAACUUAGCCACCGCUAAUGGUCUAAGUAUGGGAUGGCAUUGUGAGGAGUGAGGUAUUUUACCUUUUCGACUGGUUCGGAGCUAUGAGAGGUUUUGGGUUUAUUUGCGCUUUAAGCGUCUCUACCAGCGUACAGCACGCGCGGCGGCGUUCGCAUGCACAAUUGAAACGCCGCCGGGCAUCAUUUACAUUACAGUGUAAUAUUACAUAACACUCGUAUUACCAGUCGGUUAAGUGACUAUAGAUAGCUGCGAUGAUGACGAAACUUGCUAAUCCUCACCAUAUCGGCGUUUCCGUCGGACGGCUCAAAUGCGUGCUCUUCGUCUUCGCUCGUUUCCGCGUCCGAACUGUCGCUGCUUGAAUAUGUGCUCGGCGAGUCGUCAUCGAUGGGGACAGGUGACGCUCCUUUCACAGUCGCGUCGGAGUCGUCGUUCACGGGAGGUUGGCCACGGUCACAGCGCGUUUCCUCGCUUACUAAAUCAGGUGAUGUAGAACCGUCACCUUGCAGCGUGGGCAGUGAAGCGUCAAAUGGGGCUUCCUUUUUCGCACGGUGCCUGGAACGCACGGGCACCUCGUGCGUUGCGUCCAAGAGAUAUUGGUUAUAUUUUCUCUUCCGUUCCAUGGAAGGGAAGAAAACUUUAAGCGUCGAUGGAUAACACAGUCGUCUCCUGCGAAUCUCCUCCUCUGUGUAUCUCUUGCAAUGCAAUCCUGCUCAGCUUCAAAGACAACGCUUGGCAUUCGCACUGCAACUCAGCAGCCACAUGGCAAUAAUAACACAGAACACCCAGGCAAUAAUCACUACAGCCGUCCUCGGAGGGCAAUGGAUUGGCUACACUGGCAUAUGAAAGGCCAGUGCGUUAGUUUAUAUUUUUAUAUAGCCACUAUUUAUCCUGCUAAACUAAAGCUAAUAAAACUAUUAAUUCGGUAUAUAUUUUAAUACGAAUUACAAAUGAAAUAGCAAUAUUUAACACUAAACCUGCAGGUAUUGUAUGUUUUGUAUGUUGACUCGACACUACCGCCAUCUAUUUGAGUGACUGUCAGGGAGGCAUUGGUCAGGCCUUGCACAUCCUGUUUUUGUUGUGUGCGCCACGUGACCACGUUGUGUACGAGUUCGCCGUGCUUGCCGCGUGGUACACACAAGGUUCAGCCGAGUUCUUGUUAUUCUUCAAGUGGGUAAUAUUUGAACAAAAUGAGCCACAUACUGGUUAAAUGGGUGUCGUCCUCUUUGUGGGACGUGUACAACGUCCGAGCGAUAGCAGAUACAAACAUAGGUUUACGGCUUUUGAGCGACGGAAAUGCUAUAGAAAAAUUACGCGGCAGCGUGGUAGCUGUGAAUUGGAAGGAGGGCGAACCAACAGCAGAUGCAGAGUUGCUUGACUUCGGUAAGUAACACCGCUUUUCAUAAGUUUUCGCUGUAAAGUUGUUUCUAUUGCCUGACAACGGUUUUAUGUAGGAUUGGAAAAAACAAUGGAGCGCCGGCGAACAAAGCUUGUGCGGAUGGCGCAGUCGGCAACGGGCAGUGCCGAGGAUGUGGAGGAGGUGCCUGAAGUGCCUCUAGAGAAGACUUCACAACAGGAGGAGUAGCUGCUCCAAUAGCAGCUCUUGCCUGUACCAAUGGCUGUUCCAGAUUACUGGAGGGCAUUCUGACCAAUGCAUUCCUGCACAAGUGUGAAUGCAGGCUGGAGCUCAGUGUGCUUGCGCUGCCUCACAACGAGUCAAACAACUUGAGGAUGAGGCCAGGGAGCUACGAAAGCGGGCAGCAGAUGCCGAAAACAUCCUUGACUCUUAUGACAUGGUCAAGAAGUUAAGAAAAAUGAUGAGGAAGAUGGA